AUAUUAAAUUAAAAUUGUUUUAAUUAAUUGUUUGAACGAGAGAAAGAAUUUUUUAAUUAUGAAUUUCUCGCAAACACGUGGCCAUUAAAUAAGAAAAAAUUAUUUUGCCAUUGAUUAACACAUACACAUGUUUUGAAACACAUAUGUUGCAGCAUUGUUCAAUUUUUGAUACAAGGUUUAGUCGAGUUUUAUACAAGUUUUGUAACGUGUAUAUGUGUGAUUACUUAUUUCUUUCUGAUAUAUUUAAGAUAUUACUCAACAAGAAUGUAACUCUAUCAUUAAGCAACGCGUUUUAUUCAAUAUGCUUGCUUCAAAAGAAAGUAUUUCCUGGAAAAAGUGAUUCUAAAAAAUCAUGUUGAGCGUAUGAUAUAGAUGUAUACACGGUUGACCAAUUUAUUAUCUGCGAGUUAACGACAUGUGACUGAUGUGGACACAUUAGAUUAACGAUACUGCACAUUCAUAAGCAAAUUUGUUAACUUGUGUUGCAUGCAAGAAACUGCGACAAGGAACUUGAGUCGCAAUUUUAUUUAUCAUUGAACGGUGCGAUAUGCAAUAUGCAGUAUUUUUUAUGCAGUUUUUUUUUUCCUUGAGCUACGUAAUAAGCCAACGAGCGUUCUUUCUCUCCGUCACGCCGACGUUCGCGCUUACGCAAGCGUUUCGUAUGUAAUUGCGUUUCGUAUGUAAUCUUUACAUCAAAAUAUCUUUCUCACUCUCUCUGAUUUGACAUAUAACAUUCUUCUUUAUUCUCGUCGAAUAUCUAAGAUUUCGCUGUUCGUAGUACAACCCACACGUAUGAUAUGAUAAGAUCCAACAAAGAAGCACAAGCUUCAUUUUGUACACUCGCAAAGAUUAAUUCUCUCUCUUUUUUUCUCACUUUUUUUUCUCUCUCUCUCUCUCUCUCUGUCAGCACACAUUUUUAUAAUAAAUGAUAAAGACAACACGCGAUUGCGUCAUUUGUGUCAUUUGUCAUUUGUGAAUCAUACUCACUUAUGCGAUACGCAGAUUAUCAAUUAUUUUAAGUACAAAUACCUCUUCGUUGUUCUUAGGCCCGAUUUCUCCACAUCUCCCGAUAACUAUCUGGAUAAAGAUACACAAAAAAAGAUAUACUUUAUCUAUUAAAGUUAUUGAGAACUUAUCAGAGGUGAAGAAAUUUGGCUUUAAAUAAUGAGUGUAGAUGCGUUUCUCAUAUAGAGACAACGAAGAAAAGAUAUUAUAUAUACAUAUAUUUUACAAAUUCUUAAUCAUAUUUAUUCCACUACAUUACUCUGCAUCACGUUACAUUAGAUUUCUGUUUGUCGAUGACAAAUAUGUAUGUACAAAAAAAGGUCAUAUAAUCUAGUAAUAAUUAAAUAUAUACUCUAGCUUAGGAACAUAUGUAUAAUUUAUCGCACGCGUUUUCUGUAUUAUUAUUACAUUUGUAAAAAUUAUAACGUCGAAAAAAUGCACUAAAUAAUUAUAGACUAGAACCACGUGCGUGUAUUAAUAAUUUUGUUAACUCUAAUACAAAGCAAUGAUAUUAACAUGAUAUUAUUAAUGUAAUUCACUGCGCUGAGAUAGAAAAAAAUGUUGACCAUAGCGAACAAAAUAAAUCGUCACGCGAAGCAAAGAAUCUCACAUCUUAAAGGAUGUUUAAAAGAACGUUCUUGCGCAAUGUGACAAAACAAUUAUGUUCUGUUUCGCUUGAAAACGCUAAUACCUGCUUGCUUUGUAAUAGAUAUAUCAAUGAAAAAUGUAUUCUACGCAGCAGACGGGAACGUGGCGAUUGGUUCGUACCCAAUUCUUGCGGCGUUAUUGCGCCGUAGCUCUAAUCGGGUCGCAUAUAAUAAUCACGUGGCCGCGUACACAUAUACACUACGUACGUAUCGAAGCACGCAUAUGUAGCCGACAUGUUUGAAAUGUGUAGACCGUGACUCUAAAGAGACUCCAAUGACGUCAUAGAAUCUAUCCUAUCCAACAGAUAAAGAUUAUGCGAACAUAGAAAAAAUUUUGUUGCGCGCGUUAUGUAUAAGAGAAUCAUUAUCAGUAUUUUUGUUGUCAUUAUAGAUAACAUUCUGUGCGUCGUUUAUAGUUUUCAUCUAAUCAAAUUCGAGAACAUACUUCCGAUGUUCUUUUAAGUAUCUCUUCUAGGAAUUUAAGUAAUGAGUCGUAAAAAAAACUCCAAGAAAAAAUUUAAAAAAGCAAUUUCGCGUUGUUUGUGUUCUUAAACUGUUUGCUUUAUCCGUUUUCGGAUAUUCAAUCGCCGCUCGCUUUGUAUUUGCGCGCAAUUGUAAUAUGCGGCUUGUUGCCAGUGUUGCUCAACCGCGAACGCGCGUUUUGAUUCCGACGCGAAGAUAUGUAUAUCCGUGUGUGCGCGCACCGAGUUAUUCAUAUAUGAAAACUUACGCAACGCAACAUACUUGGAAAGCAAACUCGUAUCACGUAUUCGAUGUAUUUUGGCACCUUCCGCGAAAAGAUUGUCCAUAACGUAUUGACGCGACUGCGCCGUAUUCCAAUCAACAAGGUGGAGCGUAAUCACGUAUCGUUCAAGGUCUUUCGAAAUAGACGCCGCAAAGACGUCCAAAGAAGGGUGGAGUCAAGCGAAUGUCACCCAACACGAUUGAUCUACAUAUAUGUACAUUGUGCUUUUGAGCUACACGCCUCUGUGUCUCCUCAUCGAAGAUCGAUUGGAAUCAACAAUUUUCGCACUCCUCGCUGCCGUUGAUUCAUUCCGCUAUGCGGGAGAUCAAGACCAGUCACCGUUGAUCGUGACGUAGUCACACAGACGAUCGAUCGGGGAACAUUCACCGCGCGUCUGUAUUUUAUUUCGCUGUGUACAUAUGACGCGAACAGCUGAGAAGUAAUUUCAGGAGAGGCGCGACGUCAGCGUCGGCCAAUCACGCUGUUGCGAAACAUCGCAUUCUGUUCGUUUCUAAAGAAACCUUGUAUUUGCGUGCCGAUAUAUUUCGCGUGAUAUCGAGCACCGUUUUCUUGGAAACUUAUUUUAUAAUUUAUAACAAAAACUGAGCGUCGCUGUGAGACCACCGGAACUAGAGGAUGAAAGAUAAGAGAAUCAAAGUUUGCAUAUGUGUGGAUAGAUUCGCAGGGAUAUACAAAGAACUCCCCAAAUUAGAACACAGGCAGAGUCGACGUCUCCUCUAGUAGUGCAGUUAGACGCAAAGCCAGUUCUUGUAAUUAAAAGUAUGCCAGUAAUUAAUUUUUAUAUGUACAUCACAAAGCGAUUCUUCCUUCGCGUGAAGAGUCUCGUUUCUCCUCUAUUUCGUAACAACGUGACCUCAUUUUUCUAAACUUCUUUCCUGUUUUUUUUUUUUUUUUUUUUCUUCUUCUAUUUGCACUUUAUCACUUGUCGUACAAAAAUACGCAAAUACGUAGUCAGCUAUUUUGCUCAAUGCUCUAAUGUAAAUAUGGAUUUGCACAAUUUUGCGCGCGCGUGAACCGAUGUUUAUUCGCGAUUGAAGAAAUUUAUUUUUUU
Pseudomyrmex gracilis is the source of this 3469-nucleotide long non-coding RNA. RefSeq lists it as uncharacterized. The transcript has 3 exons. NCBI's taxonomy places the organism in Eukaryota, Metazoa, Arthropoda, Insecta, Hymenoptera, Formicidae. The record is from RefSeq and is a predicted model, not a curated record.